Molecule: non-coding RNA, 246 nt
Organism: Erythranthe guttata (spotted monkey flower)
Lineage: Eukaryota; Viridiplantae; Streptophyta; Magnoliopsida; Lamiales; Phrymaceae
Source: RefSeq, a predicted model, not a curated record
UUGUGUGUUGUUUUUUUUGGAUAAACUAUGUUCGAGGAUCCCCGACGGAGAGGAAAAGUUCACGAUUAUUGCAGAUCUACAAGGCUAUGGUUACUCCAACAACGACGCUCGUGGAUAUAUUACAGCAUUUUCUAUUUUACAGGAUUACUACCCAGAAAGAUUGAGGAAAUUGUUUGUAAUCCAUGUACCUUACAUCUUCAUGGCCUUCUGGAAAAUCAUCUGUCCAUUCAUCGACAAAAAAACAAC